GAAGGUUUCUCAGCUGGUAUUGCCUCGUGGUGAGAAAGAUUUCUUCCAUUUGUGUUGCAGCUUUACUGGGAGUAGGCGCACAUGAAAAGAGCACCGCGUAUAAUGCAGAACAUGAAAGGUGCCCCACUACACUUGUCAAUUACUUUUAAAAAUGGAUUCUCUUCAAAAUUAUCCCUGGAAGGAUGUGGAUUUUGAAUUUCCAACCUGAAAAGAAACAGUUUAUCAUGUAUUUUUUUAUUUUUUCUCUUGGUUGCUUUAUAACCCCAAAAGAUGCCUCAAUUAUCUGAACAGCAAGAUUAAACUGGAUGCGUAAUGUAGAUCUGACGUUGCCAUAUGUAUAAAUAUCACCUUCCUACAUCUUAAUGUGAUAUUUUAACUUUCAAGAGAAUCCACAGAUUUUGUAUCAUCUCUUAAAAGAAGAAAUGUACUGCUCUGUAGUCAUGUUGAACAUGUAUAAUAUGCUGCACCUCUCUGCGAGUCCCUUUAAUUUGCUCCCCAUUCACAGCAGAAUUAAAUUAAAAAUUCUCACCCUUACAUACAAAGCUCUCUCAAACACUGCUCCCCACUAUACCUAUCCUCCAGCCCGCCCACUAAGAUCCAACAAUGACCUGCUACUUGCAUCUUCAACUAUCACCUCUUCCCAUGCUAGACUGCAGGACUUCUGUUGUGCGGCACCUUUUUUAUAUAGUUUUUUUAUAUAGUUUUAUUUACGUGAAUUGUACCCAUGGGCAGCGCUGCAGAAUAUGUUGGUGCUUCAGAAAUAAAGUAUAAUAGAAGUUUACCACCGUAAUAAAAAUCUUCAGUUUGGAGGGUUUUUUUUUCUUAUCGUGAAGUAUUUUGCAAUUAAAAAAUAAAACUUGAACAUUUUAAA
Molecule: long non-coding RNA, 871 nt
Organism: Bombina bombina (fire-bellied toad)
Lineage: Eukaryota; Metazoa; Chordata; Amphibia; Anura; Bombinatoridae
Exons: 5
Source: RefSeq, a predicted model, not a curated record